UGAGAACAUGCAAAAACCAGCAUUUGUUUUUGAUGGAAGGAACAUUGUAGAUGCUGAGAAGUUACGUGAGAUUGGUUUCAUUGUUUAUUCAAUUGGAAAACCAUUGGAUGCAUGGCUCAAGGAUAUGCCAGCUGUGGCAUAAGAAUAUAGAUCAUUGAUUCAACAAUGAAAAAGUCAAGUAUUGAGUUGAGGCACUCAGUUUGAUUCUUUAAUAUUUUUUGUUAAGAUUUUUGUUUUUUAUCUUUACUUUCUUCACUUUCCCAUAGGAAUGUUGGAAGCUUUAUGUUUAAUUACUUUGUUUUUGUACUCACA
RNAcentral lists this long non-coding RNA (312 nucleotides) under Trifolium pratense (red clover). RNAcentral describes it as "long non-coding RNA (TPRA_LNC003147)". Lineage: Eukaryota; Viridiplantae; Streptophyta; Magnoliopsida; Fabales; Fabaceae. The record is from RNAcentral.